Molecule: long non-coding RNA, 1495 nt
Organism: Microplitis mediator
Lineage: Eukaryota; Metazoa; Arthropoda; Insecta; Hymenoptera; Braconidae
Exons: 4
Source: RefSeq, a predicted model, not a curated record
UGAUACCCCAAGGAGCACACUUGCUUUUGUGACAUCUAUAAGAUAUCAGUUUUUAGGCUACUUUUUGACUUAUCGAUAAGGCACAAAUAUGCUGACAAAACGAUCAGAAAUUUAUAUCACCGAAAAAAUGUCUACUUAAAAGACUUAACACAAGUGACGACAAAAAGUAAAUUACAAAUAGUGAUAAAAUAAGUCAUCUAAAUGGUUUUUUUAUUGAAAUGAGACAGGAAAAACAACACAAUUCUUCUCUGUCUUCGGAACAAACAUUUGCAUGUCGUAUUUAUACCAAAAAAGAUGACUUGGGGACAAUAAAAAAUUUGUCUUGUCCUUUUAAAAGACAUCUUUAAGACAUUUUAAAGUUGUCUCUGUGCUACUUGGGACCUAAAAGAUACUCUCCAUAAUGUGAUCAAUCAAGAAACAUUGCAGUUGACAGCAGAAAUUAAAUGUCUCACUUACGGAUGGCUCUUGAAAUUUUUGAAUUAAUGGUUAAGGCAUACUGAAUAAUUUGAAUCAAUUACAUAAAAAUGUUAAAACAGAUAGUGAGCGAGCUUACCUGCUUUCUGCUAAAGAAUGUGAUAUAAAUAAUGAUUUAAAGCGUUACCAUCAGUCUGAAGUUCCUUGGACAUGCCCUGGUUUUUAUGAUGUCCGGAGCAGUCAGAUGAUACUGAAGAUAGCUGACGUCUGAUAAUUUUUGGAUUUUUUUUAAAUCGCGAAUUACUGUAAAAAAAUGGGCUUGAUAUAUUUGUGUUGGAAAUUGAACGGCAUAUAAAAAAGGUUUCUUAUCAUUUUAUGGGAAAUCUAAUUCUUCAACAGUUAUUAAAGGUAAAAUUAAAAUUAUUUCGCGAUUUACUCGUACAUAUUAGACAGAAGAUGUAAAUAAAAUAUUAAACAAAUUUCUAUUGAAAAAGAAACAAUCGUGAAGAAAUUAUAAAAAAUUAAACUAUGUUGGUUGAUAAGUGUUGCUUGGUUGAGGCAAAGCGUUAGUAGUAUUGGGCAUUGAGUUAAGUAGGCCUACUCCCGGCGUUUACUCGUGAGACCUGAAGAUGUGUAAUGGAGCAUCAAAUAAAUGUGAUUGGAUGUACGAGUCGUUUCUGGCGUGCUAGGACCUUAAGAAUCACAUGCAUUAUUGUAGGAGGGAGAUUAUUCACGAUUGACAUUGGAAGAAUCAGCGGCUUUACAGAGUUUAUGGAAAAUAUAUCGAUUUAGUAAUCGUUAAUGAAGAUUUUGACGAUAUACAUUUCGUCAGGUAAUUGCGGUGCACUGGACGACUUGGCUAUUAAACAUCAAUGGGUACCAGUCAAUUGGAUCUAUUGAUUUUGAUACAUAAUAAAAAAUAAAUACACGAGAAAAUAAUUAUAUGAAUAGUGAAGUAAAUAAAUUUGGUUGAUUUAUUAUUAUAAUUAUUAUUGUUUAAUAUAGUUCAGUAAAACUGAAUACAGUUUUUGUUUAUAUUGUAAAGAAAAAAAUGUAUGGAUAGAAUUGUUAAAACAAUGAA